RNAcentral lists this ribosomal RNA (497 nucleotides) under uncultured bacterium. Its description in RNAcentral is "partial 16S ribosomal RNA". It matches the Rfam family "Bacterial small subunit ribosomal RNA", at positions 28 to 507 of the family's 1533-position model. The record is from RNAcentral.
GAUGAACGCUGGCGGCGUGCCUAAUACAUGCAAGUCGAGCGAACAGACGAGGAGCUUGCUCCUCUGACGUUAGCGGCGGACGGGUGAGUAACACGUGGAUAACCUACCUAUAAGACUGGGAUAACUUCGGGGAACCGGAGCUAAUACCGGAUAAUAUAUUGAACCGCAUGGUUCAAUAGUGAAAGACGGUUUUGCUGCCACUUAUAGAUGGAUCCGCGCCGCAUUAGCUAGUUGGUAAGGUAACGGCUUACCAAGGCAACGAUGCGUAGCCGACCUGAGAGGGUGAUCGGCCACACUGGAACUGAGACACGGUCCAGACUCCUACGGGAGGCAGCAGUAGGGAAUCUUCCGCAAUGGGCGAAAGCCUGACGGAGCAACGCCGCGUGAGUGAUGAAGGUCUUCGGAUCGUAAAACUCUGUUAUUAGGGAAGAACAAAUGUGUAAGUAACUAUGCACGUCUUGACGGUACCUAAUCAGAAAGCCACGGCUAACUACGUG